GGGGUCGUAGCUCAAUUGGGAGAGCGCCGGCUUUGCAAGCCGGAGGUUGCCGGUUCGAACCCGGUCGGCUCCA
This 73-nucleotide transfer RNA is filed under the name Parvularculaceae bacterium. Its description in RNAcentral is "tRNA-Ala". It matches the Rfam family "tRNA". Rfam says of the family: Transfer RNA (tRNA) molecules are approximately 80 nucleotides in length. Their secondary structure includes four short double-helical elements and three loops (D, anti-codon, and T loops). Lineage: Bacteria; Pseudomonadati; Pseudomonadota; Alphaproteobacteria; Parvularculales; Parvularculaceae. The record is from RNAcentral.